This 505-nucleotide ribosomal RNA is filed under the name uncultured bacterium. Its description in RNAcentral is "bacterial SSU rRNA". It matches the Rfam family "Bacterial small subunit ribosomal RNA", at positions 29 to 511 of the family's 1533-position model. The record is from RNAcentral.
AGCGAACGUUAGCGGCGGGCCUAACACAUGCAAGUCGAACGCGAAAGGUCUUCGGACUGAGUAGAGUGGCGCACGGGUGAGUAACACGUAGGUAAUCUACCCUUUGGCGGGGGAUAACGUUCCGAAAGGAGCGCUAAUACCGCAUAAGACCACGGAGUCUCCGGACGCUGUGGGAAAAGGUGGCCUCUUCUUGAAAGCUACCACCGAAGGAUGAGCCUGCGUCCCAUCAGCUAGUUGGUAAGGUAAUGGCUUACCAAGGCGAAGACGGGUAGCUGGUUUGAGAGAAUGAUCAGCCACACUGGCACUGGAACACGGGCCAGACUCCUACGGGAGGCAGCAGUGAGGAAUAUUGGGCAAUGGGCGAAAGCCUGACCCAGCCACGCCGCGUGAGUGAUGAAGGCCCUCGGGUCGUAAAGCUCUGUGGAGAGGGACGAAAACCCUGGUUUCAAAUAUGCUCCAGGCUUGACGGUACCUCUUUAGCAAGCACCGGCUAACUCUGUGCCAG